UACAGAGGGGGCAAGCGUUGUUCGGAAUUACUGGGCGUAAAGGGCGCGUAGGCGGUUCGUCAAGUCCUGUGUGAAAUCCCCCGGCUCAACUGGGGAACUGCACAGGAAACUAGCGGGCUUGAGUCCGGGAGAGGAGAGUGGAAUUCCUGGUGUAGCGGUGAAAUGCGCAGAUAUCAGGAAGAACACCCGUGGCGAAAGCGGCUCUCUGGAACGGUACUGACGCUGAGACGCGAAAGCGUGGGGAGCGAACAGG
This 253-nucleotide ribosomal RNA is filed under the name uncultured bacterium. RNAcentral describes it as "partial 16S ribosomal RNA". It matches the Rfam family "Bacterial small subunit ribosomal RNA", at positions 524 to 776 of the family's 1533-position model. The record is from RNAcentral.